This is a long non-coding RNA of Triticum aestivum (bread wheat), 2052 nucleotides long. RefSeq lists it as uncharacterized. The transcript is spliced from 3 exons. Lineage: Eukaryota; Viridiplantae; Streptophyta; Magnoliopsida; Poales; Poaceae. The record is from RefSeq and is a predicted model, not a curated record.
UUUAAUAUUGUACUGAAAUAAUGAUAAUUGUGGAGUGUUCUAAAGAAAAGGCUAGCAGUCCUCUAUUUGCAUGUCUGCUGGUUUGAUGCAAGACAAGAGACCUAUGCAUAAUUAUGUAUCUUGCUUGCACUAUCUACAUUUCCUGUUUUGGUGCUAAACCCAUAGGUUUCGUGCUAAACCCGUAGGCUUCGUGGUUUUACUCCUAGAGCGGUAGAUUCAUUGAUGAUAUGUUGAUGCGGUCCACUUGGUGUUCUUGCUUGGCAGGAGAGAAAAAAGCAUCUUUGAGACGCUUGAUCGUUCAUGCCGUGGUUGGAUGAGAAUGGAGAACUAUAAUGCAAAUGGAGGACUGUCCAUACAAAUUUUGUUUUAUUGGUCAGACUAUUUGUUCAUUUGGCUAUCUUAAUGCAUGAAGAUUUGGGAGGCAGGGAGGGAAUGCUCAAGUGGAAACAAAGUAAGGACCAAGCAGCUCAAGAUUUUACUACUACCUUGCUAAUAGCUUUGUGAGAAUCAGACAAUGCAUGGUGUGGGUCGAGAUGAUGUCCAGUCGCCUCCCUCAUCACCUAGACAACGCUACGGAGGGCUCAAAGGUUGAACCUGAAUGUGCUUGUUCCUAUCUCUGGUUCAUCGGCCUCCCGAGACACUCUUGAGGUAUGAAAGUAAAACCCCUUUCUCCACCAUAUGUUGAUUGCAUUAAUGAUUCUGUUCUAUUCACUUCCUGCCAGUGCAGUUUGGUUACUUAUUUGUUCAUUUCAUUCAACAUACAUGUUUCUGUAGUACUCUUGGUGCAGACACAGAUUCAAACUCAUGGAUGCUGACUAUGGUGAACUGCCAAUCACUACUGAUAGGGCCGUACCUAAGAAUCUAAGGGCCUGGUGCAAAAUUUGGAAUUAGGCCUUUAUAUGGAAAUGCUAAUUAUGAAGUCAAUAUGAUAGUAAUUAUUAACCGGAAAUUACUAAUAGGGUUCAAACUCCAUGGAACCCGAAAUUUGAACAUUUUUUCUUCAAAUUUUAUGUUUCAAAGAAUACACACAUACCUAUGGAUGUAUACUACUUUUUGUAAAGUUUAAUGCCAAAAUACGUUUUAUGCAAGGUACACAAAAAUAACAAAAUUAUGUAUUUCUUGCACAUAGUAUCCACUAUAAAGUACAUACAAGAUUUGUUUUUUGUACAACUCAUACCAAAAUGUAUUUCACAAUGAAAUUUUACACAAAUCUACAAGUACUUGUGUAUUUAUAUUUACUUUUUAACUUAAAAAAUGUCAAUUUUUGAAAAUAAAUAAAUAAAUGUGGAGCCUGAGAGCUACAAAGCCUCACUCAUUUAUUAGCAUACAAUAAACAUAAUCUUUUGAAUAAUAACACAAGAGCGAUGGAUGAUGGGAAGAAAAACUAAAUAGAUGACAGCAGAGCGCAUGGAUCCAUUUCUUACCUCAAAUAUCUCUAAAGAAUUUGCAAAGUGAUUCGCUGAAAGGAGAACAGAGGAAACCUCCCUUUGGAUUCUGAUGCAUGCGAAAUUUCCUAAUCCAACUUGACGUUGAUUAAUAUCACUAACUGCUACUAUUAGAGAGGGAGAGAGGAUGGGUACUUGUUGGCGUUGGAAGCUAGAAGGUUCCACUGGACGUUAUACAUUCCUUUAUUAUCCUCUUGAUUAACGUUGUUAAUUGCUAUUUUAAGAUAAAUUCAGGGGCCCCAAAAUUUUAUGGGGCCCUGUGCCGUUGCACACCCUGCACCUGCUUGUGAUACGGGCCUGACUACUGAAGACAGAACUACUGCUGUCACAGCCCGCUUGAAGGGUGUUGACAAAAGGGCCACCAUGACUAGAGGCUGGAGCGACUUCUUCCAUCAGGCACACAUGAACAAAGGGCAAGCAUAUGCUUUUGCCUUCAAAUGCACUUCCAAGGGACUACUCCUGAUUGUCUACUCAAUAUAAGCAAGUCGCAAGAGCCCCUUGUUAUAUAACUUUUUUUUUUUGCGGAAAUCCUUGUUAUAUAACUUAGCAUUAGUGUAGAUGCCUACCAAGACUUCUAUGUUUAUCAUCCUUUUGGAUCUUAUGUAAU